RNAcentral lists this ribosomal RNA (253 nucleotides) under uncultured bacterium. Its description in RNAcentral is "partial 16S ribosomal RNA". It matches the Rfam family "Bacterial small subunit ribosomal RNA", at positions 524 to 776 of the family's 1533-position model. The record is from RNAcentral.
UACGUAGGGUGCGAGCGUUGUCCGGAAUUACUGGACGUAAAGAGCUCGUAGGUGGUUUGUCGCGUUGUUCGUGAAAACCGGGGGCUUAACCCUCGGCGUGCGGGCGAUACGGGCAGACUUGAGUACUGCAGGGGAGACUGGAAUUCCUGGUGUAGCGGUGGAAUGCGCAGAUAUCAGGAGGAACACCGGUGGCGAAGGCGGGUCUCUGGGCAGUAACUGACGCUGAGGAGCGAAAGCGUGGGGAGCGAACGGG